UCCGGGAUGGUGAAACGGUAUCACAGAGGACUCUGAAUCCUCUUUUCUAGGUUCGAAUCCUAGUCCCGGAGCCA
This 74-nucleotide transfer RNA is filed under the name Elusimicrobia bacterium GWA2_51_34. Its description in RNAcentral is "tRNA-Gln". It matches the Rfam family "tRNA". From Rfam's summary of the family: Transfer RNA (tRNA) molecules are approximately 80 nucleotides in length. Their secondary structure includes four short double-helical elements and three loops (D, anti-codon, and T loops). The record is from RNAcentral. RNAcentral also lists the same sequence under 3 other names. Lineage: Bacteria; Pseudomonadati; Elusimicrobiota.